GGGGGAUGGAGACCGAGGAAUAACCCAAUUCUGCUUCUGCCAGGCCAGCAACUGCGGAGAGGACUAGUGGGUAAAGGUGUUCUCUACCAGAAAGAGGAAGUACGCCCAGAAAGAGGAAAACCUGAGAUCAAGGACAUGGGAAUUUACACAUGAGACAGGUGAAAAUCAUUCCUAGGAUGAUGUCAAAGAGAAGUCCCAGGACAUCAGCUAUGUAAGUGGUCCAGAGAGCAACCAGUCCAGACUAACAGGCACAAGGUAGGUUCCAGAGGAUGUCACUAAGCAAAAAACAAACAAACAAAAAAUGG
Molecule: long non-coding RNA, 305 nt
Filed under: Mustela putorius furo (domestic ferret)
Lineage: Eukaryota; Metazoa; Chordata; Mammalia; Carnivora; Mustelidae
Description: lncRNA (ENSMPUG00000030417.1)
Source: RNAcentral